This 552-nucleotide ribosomal RNA is filed under the name uncultured bacterium. RNAcentral describes it as "bacterial SSU rRNA". It matches the Rfam family "Bacterial small subunit ribosomal RNA", at positions 50 to 617 of the family's 1533-position model. The record is from RNAcentral.
AAAAAAUGCAAGUCGAGCGGGUCCCGCAGCAAUGCGGGUUCAGCGGCGAACGGUCGCGUAACACGUAAGCAACCUGCCCCGAAGACCGGGACAACAGCUCGAAAGGGCUGCUAAUACCGGAUGUGGCCGCCUCACCGCAUGAUGAGGCGAUUAAACCCAGCAAUGGGCUUCGGGAGGGGCUUGCGGCCUAUCAGCUAGUUGGUGGGGUAACGGCCUACCAAGGCGACGACGGGUAGCUGGUCUGAGAGGACGAUCAGCCGGACUGGGACUGAGACACGGCCCAGACUCCUACGGGGGGCAGCAAUUAGGAAUCUUGCGCAAUGGGGGAAACCCUGACGCAGCGACGCCGCGUGGAGGACGAAGUCCUUCGGGAUGUAAACUCCUUUUCAGAGAGAAGAAACAAAUGACGGUAUCUCUGGAAUAAGCCCCGGCUAACUACGUGCCAGCAGCCGCGGUAAUACGUAGGGGGCGAGCGUNGUCCGAAGUUACUGGGCGUAAAGCGCGCGUAGGCGGGUCGCUAAGUGAGAAGUGAAAUCCUGNGGCUCAACUUCA